Molecule: ribosomal RNA, 301 nt
Filed under: uncultured bacterium
Lineage: Bacteria
Description: partial 16S ribosomal RNA
Rfam family: Bacterial small subunit ribosomal RNA
Source: RNAcentral
CAGCAGCCGCGGUAAUACGAAGGGGGCUAGCGUUGUUCGGAAUUACUGGGCGUAAAGCGCACGUAGGCGGAUUUUUAAGUCAGGGGUGAAAUCCCGAGGCUCAACCUCGGAACUGCCUUUGAUACUGGAGAUCUUGAGUUCGGAAGAGGUUGGUGGAACAGCUAGUGUAGAGGUGAAAUUCGUAGAUAUUAGCUAGAACACCAGUGGCGAAGGCGGCCAACUGGUCCGAUACUGACGCUGAGGUGCGAAAGCGUGGGGAGCAAACAGGAUUAGAUACCCCUGUAGUCCCUGUCUCUUAUAC